CAUCAUGAAGCUUUCCAAUCUGCUGGCAGUGCAAAGCAUACUGGGAAGGCAUGGAGGCCUUGGAGGACUUUCAGCUCCCAGUUUCAUCGAUGGAUGCUGCACCUAGCUUAAUCAUCUCUUUCCUGGGCUUGCUGCUGACCCAAGCAGAAGUUCUGGUCAUGUGCUGAUAAUGAGUUUUCUUCCUUUAGGGCACAAGCGAACAAAGAGUGCAUCCAGCAGCCGAAGAACUUUGAUGAUACUCACAUCUGAAUGACUGGAAAUCUAUUUUAAUUGAUUGAAUAGCAGACAGAAAGGGUGACUCUACAGCUGUCUCCUAGUAAAGACUUCAGAGGACCUGGAAGUCCUUUUUGUUUGGAAGAACUUCAGAAGAACCUGGAAGUAGACCAGGCAAUGCUAACACAGUGUACUUUGCCAAGAGAGGACUGCACUGGCAUUGUCACCUAACUUGUUUGGGAAAUCCUGCUAGAGAAGAAAUGUUUCAAAAUGUUGGUGUCCAGUUCUUUGGUACAUCCCUUGAAGUUGUCUCUUGCUGCCAUAUUUCCGUUUGUACAGAAGCCACAGAAGUGCUUCUCUAAUUCUCUGAAGUAUUGUAAUAACAAAUGCAUGCAUGCAUAACAAUUUUCAGAUGUUCAUAUCCUGUUGGCAAGA
Hemicordylus capensis (graceful crag lizard) is the source of this 648-nucleotide long non-coding RNA. RefSeq lists it as uncharacterized. NCBI's taxonomy places the organism in Eukaryota, Metazoa, Chordata, Lepidosauria, Squamata, Cordylidae. The transcript has 3 exons. The record is from RefSeq and is a predicted model, not a curated record.